Brachypodium distachyon (stiff brome) is the source of this 2625-nucleotide long non-coding RNA. RefSeq lists it as uncharacterized. Lineage: Eukaryota; Viridiplantae; Streptophyta; Magnoliopsida; Poales; Poaceae. The record is from RefSeq and is a predicted model, not a curated record. The transcript has 5 exons.
CGCGUCCGUGGCCAGUAUGUCAUCCCACCCCGGCCAAGAUCUCCUUCCCCUGCGCGCGCCGCCGCCAACCUCGGCCCGCGCCCUCCAAGCCGGCGACCUCCGCCACCUCCCGAGGCGUGCCCGGUGCCGCCGGCCCCCUCCGAGCCCCGAUCCAAUCGUCCACUGAGGAAUCCCCUCCUCGCUCCGUCAGCUCCUCCCGCGCCGCCACCAUCUCGCGGGGCCCUGCCGCCGAGUUCUCCCGACGCUCGAUGAGGGCGUCCCCUCCAGUCGCAGCUGUCGCCGGAGCGGAAGGGGAGACCAGUUCCCAUCGGCCAUCGUGCGUCUCCUCGCCUCCUAGAAAGAGGAAAACCCCGCAUCGCUCGCUGCCGCCGCCGCGUCAUCCUCCCCCGGCAUAUGCGUCCCUCGCCGUCGCCUUGCACCUUGCCUAAGAGCCUCUGCCGACUCCGUUCUGCUCGCCCGCGUCCGCACCGCUGCCGCUGAAACAAGGCGCCUUCCUUCCUUGCCGCCUCCAUGAGGCCGCUCCACUGCAGGCUGGCGGCGCGCCUGAGCUCCGUCCUGGCGAUCUCCUCCUACGUGCUCGCCGGGAACAAGGCCGCGCCCGCCGCCGCCGCGCAUCUGUUGUAUGACCUUGCCAACUCCUAUGAACAGUUUGUGCGCAAAGUUGAGAAAGUUGGAACCAUUAAUCACGUUAGAGCCGCGGAGGCUCGGAAGGAGACGAGUGGCCGGAGGAGGUGGAGAGAGGCAGAGAUCCAUGGCUGCACCUGGCUCCUUAGUCCCGGCUCACUCGAACCAAAUUGCCCCGUGAUGGAUGUGCAUCGAAAGGAUCUGGACAUACAAACUUUAUAUCAUUGAGAUAUCUUUUAUUGUGUUUGCUAUUUGGGGCACUUGAUAUGCCUCCUGCUUGUCUGACUAUCUUUACAAAUUAAUUCUUCAGACAAAUGGUACUCAACUCAAAAUACAAUGGUGGCAGAACAGGUACUCCUUGAGUCCUUGAUAUCUACUAUGAGCAGCCAAAAUUACUGAUCUGAAUGUGUACUUCACUCAAUCAUGUCACUGGCAGUUAAAUUGAUUCAUGCAGUAGAUCCUUUACAGCAGCCGCUUUUGUGCUACACCAAGUAAUUUCAUAGUGCUAGCACAUAGAAGCUUCUCUAGAUAGCACUGGGGCUGAUUCAGUUAUAUAGGUAAAGAAAAUAAAAGGUUAUAAUGCAUCACAGGAGCAGGGCAAGAGUAGUAAGGUGAAGGCUUAUUCCCUUGCACUAAUCAAUCAUUGGCUAGCUGGAUAUGAAAUCAGCCGGUCAGCGUCUAUGAUACAAUUAAUGCAAGUUCUGUAUGGUUUCUUUUUAUUGGGUUGAUAUUUAUGCAUUCAUAAAUUGUUUCUUCAGAAUUUUAAUCCAGAUGUGAAGUGGCAAGGAUGCAUUAUCUAGAAUGAGUCUAAUCAUGAAUAGACAAGUCAAUGAAAUCCAUCUUGGUGAUUAAGUUUAUGAAUCAAAAUUAUCUACUAACUGCAGAAAGGAAGAAAACAAGUCACAGUUAUUCUCUCGGUUGUGUUCAUUUCCAGUGUGGGUUUGCUCUGCAUUUUCAUACUUGGAGCAAAUAGGACAAGCUAUAAAUCCUUUUGCUAGACUAUUACAUCUUAUCUACUACCUGAAUUGAAGCUAUAAAUAACUUUGCUACCUGUUAGCAGCAGCAUGGUUGUCUUUAUCUACACUGCCGGUAAAAUUGUAUGCUUAUUGCGAUCCUCAAUUAACGAAAAGUGGAAAUGAACAAAUAAUUUCUGUAUACUUGCGACCGUACCAGGGACAAAAAAGUUUGUUCAUUUGCUUGAUAUUGUACUUUUUAUUGCAUAUAUAGUUUUGCAUGAAGCAGGUAAAUGAAAUUUUCAGUGUUAUGGGGAUGCAUGAAACCAUGCGCCAACUUUGUUCUCAGGUAAUAGGGGAGGGAAUAAAGCUGCCACUGCUCACACAGCACACCAAUUUGUUGAAUGUGCAAGCGAAGAUACUAUUGUCAUACUACAUGUCUACAUACAUAGUACAUAGUUAGCAUCUCGGUCACCAAGGAGGGUGUGAAGUUCUCCACUUCUGGAGACAUUUGAACUGCAAACAUUUUUGCAAAACAAGACGGUUGAUAUCUCUGUUACGGCCACUAAUUGGUACCAUGAAGCUUUACACAUCCUUCAAGAAGGGUGGCAAGUGGCAACGUGCUCAAGACGGCGCAGGGUGGCUUCGAUCUCAGCAAGAUCAUCGACAUCAUCGUCUCCUCUGGGUACACGUAGCCAAAACUGGAAAACAAGAAAUUCUCAGGCGAAUGCUUGUUGACGCACAUGGCAAGUGAAGUAUUUCCCUGCUACCAUCAAAGCUAUAGCUGGAUGAUCCUCGGCAUUACUGGUUCAACUCAGAGCUUUUUUUCAGCCCGGUUUGCAUUGCUUUGUAUGGUGUAGGGGAUCUUUUGUUGUUUUAGAUUACUCUUUUCUUUUUUAGUUUGUACUCAUAUACACAACAUGGUUUCUCAAUUUCUUUAAUACAAAUAGGAAGCGCUCUGCAUGUAACCACAUUCAUUUCCCAAAAGGAAUUUCUCAUGUUGCAAAUUAUGAAAUGGAUAUUUGUAAGCCAUGGGCGGCUGUCUUGA